This 253-nucleotide ribosomal RNA is filed under the name uncultured bacterium. RNAcentral's name for it is "partial 16S ribosomal RNA". It matches the Rfam family "Bacterial small subunit ribosomal RNA", at positions 524 to 776 of the family's 1533-position model. The record is from RNAcentral.
UACAGAGGGGGCAAGCGUUGUUCGGAAUUACUGGGCGUAAAGGGCGCGUAGGCGGCCUUCUAAGUCGAACGUGAAAUCCCUGGGCUCAACCCAGGAACUGCGUCCGAGACUGGAAGGCUUGAGUCCGGGAGAGGAGAGUGGAAUUCCUGGUGUAGCGGUGAAAUGCGCAGAUAUCAGGAAGAACACCCGUGGCGAAAGCGGCUCUCUGGAACGGUACUGACGCUGAGACGCGAAAGCGUGGGGAGCGAACAGG